This 343-nucleotide unclassified non-coding RNA is filed under the name soil metagenome. RNAcentral's name for it is "partial contains 5.8S ribosomal RNA, internal transcribed spacer 2, and large subunit ribosomal RNA". The stretch from base 1 to 120 matches the Rfam family "5.8S ribosomal RNA", at positions 35 to 154 of the family's 154-position model. The record is from RNAcentral.
GAUGAAGAACGUAGCGAAAUGCGAUAAGUAAUGUGAAUUGCAGAAUUCAGUGAAUCAUCGAAUCUUUGAACGCACAUUGCGCCCGCUAGUAUUCUGGCGGGCAUGCCUGUCCGAGCGUCAUUUCAACCCUCAAGCCCCCGGGCUUGGUGUUGGGGAUCGGCGAGCCUCCGCGCCCGCCGUCCCCUAAAUCUAGUGGCGGUCUCGCUGUAGCUUCCUCUGCGUAGUAGCACACCUCGCACUGGGAAACAGCGCGGCCACGCCGUUAAAACCCCAACUUCUGAACGUUUGACCUCGGAUCAGGUAGGAAUACCCGCUGAACUUAAGCAUAUCAAUAAGCGGAGGA